Molecule: ribosomal RNA, 1013 nt
Filed under: Salmonella enterica subsp. enterica serovar Kentucky
Lineage: Bacteria; Pseudomonadati; Pseudomonadota; Gammaproteobacteria; Enterobacterales; Enterobacteriaceae
Description: bacterial SSU rRNA
Rfam family: Bacterial small subunit ribosomal RNA
Source: RNAcentral
AAAUUGAAGAGUUUGAUCAUGGCUCAGAUUGAACGCUGGCGGCAGGCCUAACACAUGCAAGUCGAACGGUAACAGGAAGCAGCUUGCUGCUUUGCUGACGAGUGGCGGACGGGUGAGUAAUGUCUGGGAAACUGCCUGAUGGAGGGGGAUAACUACUGGAAACGGUGGCUAAUACCGCAUAACGUCGCAAGACCAAAGAGGGGGACCUUCGGGCCUCUUGCCAUCAGAUGUGCCCAGAUGGGAUUAGCUUGUUGGUGAGGUAACGGCUCACCAAGGCGACGAUCCCUAGCUGGUCUGAGAGGAUGACCAGCCACACUGGAACUGAGACACGGUCCAGACUCCUACGGGAGGCAGCAGUGGGGAAUAUUGCACAAUGGGCGCAAGCCUGAUGCAGCCAUGCCGCGUGUAUGAAGAAGGCCUUCGGGUUGUAAAGUACUUUCAGCGGGGAGGAAGGUGUUGUGGUUAAUAACCGCAGCAAUUGACGUUACCCGCAGAAGAAGCACCGGCUAACUCCGUGCCAGCAGCCGCGGUAAUACGGAGGGUGCAAGCGUUAAUCGGAAUUACUGGGCGUAAAGCGCACGCAGGCGGUCUGUCAAGUCGGAUGUGAAAUCCCCGGGCUCAACCUGGGAACUGCAUUCGAAACUGGCAGGCUUGAGUCUUGUAGAGGGGGGUAGAAUUCCAGGUGUAGCGGUGAAAUGCGUAGAGAUCUGGAGGAAUACCGGUGGCGAAGGCGGCCCCCUGGACAAAGACUGACGCUCAGGUGCGAAAGCGUGGGGAGCAAACAGGAUUAGAUACCCUGGUAGUCCACGCCGUAAACGAUGUCUACUUGGAGGUUGUGCCCUUGAGGCGUGGCUUCCGGAGCUAACGCGUUAAGUAGACCGCCUGGGGAGUACGGCCGCAAGGUUAAAACUCAAAUGAAUUGACGGGGGCCCGCACAAGCGGUGGAGCAUGUGGUUUAAUUCGAUGCAACGCGAAGAACCUUACCUGGUCUUGACAUCCACGGAAGUUUUCAG